RNAcentral lists this long non-coding RNA (814 nucleotides) under Cucumis sativus (cucumber). Its description in RNAcentral is "long non-coding RNA (CSAT_LNC002913)". The record is from RNAcentral. Lineage: Eukaryota; Viridiplantae; Streptophyta; Magnoliopsida; Cucurbitales; Cucurbitaceae.
UUGCUGAUCAGAAUCAGUAUAGUGUACAUCAACACUAAAUGUGCCAGACCGAUAAAACGUGAGAGCCUUAACACUAGGUAUAGGGUUCCCCUUGGGAAAGACAACAGUGCUCUGCUGAUUGUCCACUGCCCCAUUUUGAGAAUCUGAAGCAGCACCUUUCCACGAGAGAGCUAUGUUAAAUGGGAAGUGCUCGUUUACCUUCAAAAGGGAAAACCAAAAAAUCAGGGAGGAAAUGCAAAAAAUCCUAUGUUCUUGAAAGUUUAGCUGAAUUGCAGAAAUGAUGAACUUCAAACUACCGCUACCAAUCAGAUACAUUGAACUAUGACACAUGUUCCAUCAAAAGUUAAUGAAAAGAUAAACAUUCCUAUAUGUGUGAAUAGUGCACAAGUGAACGCAAAAACAAUAAAUCUCUAUUCGUUAAGAACAUAUUAGUCAAAGGACAGUCUAAAGGAAAAUUUCAAUUGUAGUGAUUCAAUCGGUGCUCUUACCUGAAAUUCUCGCACUUUGAAUGUGGGACUGAGGAUUGCGCACUGAAGGGCACUACCUCUUGCAACACACUCACUUGCAUUCAUAGUACGCCUAGGCUCCUUUUUGAAGAAGUCUGUCAGUAUUUUGAUUAUAGCAGGGACACGAGACCCUGAACCAACGACUUCAACUACGUGGAUAUUCUCAAUGGUAAGACCAGCUUCUGCAAGAGCCUGCUCCAGAGGUCCUUUCACACGUUCUAAAAUAGGAAUGCUUAUUUGUUCAAAUUCAUCACGCUUAAUGAUUCCCUUCACAUCCUUCUCAUCCAUCAAACAUUCUAUGUUCAAAG